This 254-nucleotide ribosomal RNA is filed under the name uncultured Atopobium sp. RNAcentral's name for it is "partial 16S ribosomal RNA". It matches the Rfam family "Bacterial small subunit ribosomal RNA", at positions 107 to 355 of the family's 1533-position model. Lineage: Bacteria; Bacillati; Actinomycetota; Coriobacteriia; Coriobacteriales; Atopobiaceae. The record is from RNAcentral.
UGAGUAACACGUGGGCAACCUGCCCUUUGCACUGGGAUAGCCUCGGGAAACCGAGGUUAAUACCGGAUACUCCAUAUUUGUCGCAUGGCGGAAAUAUGGGGAAAAGCUCCGGCGGCAAAGGAUGGGCCCGCGGCCUGUUAGCUAGUUGGUGGGGGUAGUGGCCUACCAAGGCAAUGAUGGGUAGCCGGGUUGAGAGACCGACCGGCCAGAUUGGGACUGAGACACGGCCCAGACUCCUACGGGAGGCAGCAGCC